This 460-nucleotide ribosomal RNA is filed under the name uncultured bacterium. RNAcentral's name for it is "partial 16S ribosomal RNA". It matches the Rfam family "Bacterial small subunit ribosomal RNA", at positions 338 to 795 of the family's 1533-position model. The record is from RNAcentral.
CCUACGGGUGGCAGCAGUGAGGAAUAUUGGUCAAUGGGCGUACGCCUGAACCAGCCAAGUCGCGUGAGGGAAGACUGCCCUACGGGUUGUAAACUUCUUUUAUCAAGGAAUAAAGUGCGCUACGUGUACCGUUUUGGAUGUAAUUUGUGAAUAAGGCUUGGCUAACCUCGUGCCCGCCGCCGAGGUAAUAACGAGGGUGCGAGCGUUAUCCGGAUUUAAUGGGUUUAAAGGGAGCGUUGAUCGGUUGUUAAGGUAGAUGGGAAAGGUUGCGGCUAAACCGUAAAAUUGCAAUUGAGAAUGGCAGCCUUGAGUACAGUGGAGGAAGGCGGAAUUCGUGGUGUAGCGGUGAAAUGCUUAGAUAUCAUGAAGAACUCCGAUUGCGAAGGCAGCUGUCUAGGCUGCCACUGACGCUGAGGCUCGAAAGUGUGGGUAUCAAACAGGAUUAGAUACCCGAGUAGUC